GGUGCGGUAGCUCAGUUUGGUUAGAGUGCCAGCCUGUCACGCUGGAAGUCGCGGGUUCAAGCCCCGUCCGCACCG
This is a transfer RNA of Prevotella sp. CAG:485, 75 nucleotides long. It matches the Rfam family "tRNA". From Rfam's summary of the family: Transfer RNA (tRNA) molecules are approximately 80 nucleotides in length. The record is from Rfam. Lineage: Bacteria; Pseudomonadati; Bacteroidota; Bacteroidia; Bacteroidales; Prevotellaceae.